ACUUGCAGUAUAAACUUUCGUUAAUAUUUUUAUAUGCUAGGUCAUAAAAGUGCUACAAUAAACUUUAAAAAGGGUGAUCUUACAUUUUAUUUAAACACUUACAACCUUUGGUAUGUAUACAAGUUUUUUUUCUCUCAACAGACACAACCUUGUUCAACAAGAUCAUUCAGCAGGCUAAACAUGGCAAAUGGAAGGAACAAUAAGACACUAGUAGUCAAUUUUCAAAGCCACUACCAAAAUGUCUAUCCUCCAGCACUUCAGGCACAUCUUUGAUACCAGUGUCAAUUUCUACAUUCCCAUCGUGGACAGCAGAACCAAUUAUUUCAGGUACACCACGGACACAACAAUCUAAAACUUCAGGCACAUCUUUGACACCAGAGUCAUACACGUCAAGCACUAAGGAAGCAUUUCAGGCACAUUUUUGACACCAGAGUCAAACACUUCAGGCACAUCUAUGACACCAAGAGAAACCUCCGAGUACAGAAGCAGAUCGACCAGGAACAACAAUCAAUCUUAAUUCAGAUGAUGAAUCAUAAAAAAAGUGGUCAAAGAAGAAUGAAAAGAUGCGUUAAAAUUCUAUGACCCAGAUGCCAAAUAUUUAUGGUUAGGACUUCACCACUGCUUGUACACGACUUCCUGUCAUAAUGGGAUUUAGGGAACGUCUUCAGGUGACAGGAAGGCAAUUAAAAAAACGAAUGGUACUUCACAGAACUUGCAUACAACUAUACAUUCCCUGAACCAACACCAAGAUACUUUAUAUGGUGCCGUAAAACAUGGGAGUUUAAAUUGCAUCCAGCUGCAAAAAUGGAUUUUGAAUGCGGUUCGAUUUUCAACAUCAGAUAUUACCCAGCUUAUAACCAAAUCGACCGAAGAUGUAGAGAGGAAACAACAGGAAAGGAUGGCUCUACAAACAGAACUGGUCAAUGUCGUGAAAGACUCUGUAUAACAAAAUCUAGAAUUGGA
Mytilus californianus (California mussel) is the source of this 963-nucleotide long non-coding RNA. RefSeq lists it as uncharacterized. NCBI's taxonomy places the organism in Eukaryota, Metazoa, Mollusca, Bivalvia, Mytilida, Mytilidae. The transcript has 4 exons. The record is from RefSeq and is a predicted model, not a curated record.